UACGUAGGCAGCGAGCGUUGUUCGGAAUUACUGGGCGUAAAGAGUGUGUAGGCGGUGCUCUAAGUUCGGUGUGAAAUCUCCCGGCUUAACUGGGAGGGUGCGCCGGAAACUGGAGUGCUCGAACGUGGGAGAGGAAGCGGAAUUCCUGGUGUAGCGGUGAAAUGCGUAGAUAUCAGGAGGAACACCUGCGGUGUAGACGGCUUUCUGGACCAUUGUUGACGCUGAGACACGAAAGCGUGGGUAGCAAACAGG
This 252-nucleotide ribosomal RNA is filed under the name uncultured bacterium. RNAcentral describes it as "partial 16S ribosomal RNA". It matches the Rfam family "Bacterial small subunit ribosomal RNA", at positions 524 to 776 of the family's 1533-position model. The record is from RNAcentral.